UCCUCCCUACGGGAGGCAGCAGUGAGGAAUAUUGGUCAAUGGGCGGGAGCCUGAACCAGCCAAGUCGCGUGAGGGAAGACGGUCCUACGGAUUGUAAACCUCUUUUGCCGGGGAGCAACGGGGUCCUUGCGAGGUCCCAAUGAGAGUACCCGGAGAAAAAGCAUCGGCUAACUCCGUGCCAGCAGCCGCGGUAAUACGGAGGAUGCGAACGUUAUCCGGAUUUAUUGGGUUUAAAGGGUGCGUAGGCGGGACGGUAAGUCAGCGGUAAAAAUGCGGAGCUCAACUCCGUCGAGCCGUUGAAACUG
Molecule: ribosomal RNA, 305 nt
Filed under: uncultured bacterium
Lineage: Bacteria
Description: bacterial SSU rRNA
Rfam family: Bacterial small subunit ribosomal RNA
Source: RNAcentral